This 431-nucleotide ribosomal RNA is filed under the name uncultured bacterium. RNAcentral describes it as "partial 16S ribosomal RNA". It matches the Rfam family "Bacterial small subunit ribosomal RNA", at positions 29 to 507 of the family's 1533-position model. The record is from RNAcentral.
AACGAGCGCUGGCGGCAGGCUUAACACAUGCAAGUCGAACGCCCCGCAAGGGGAGUGGCAGACGGGUGAGUAACGCGUGGGAACAUACCCUUUUCUACGGAAUAGCUCUGGGAAACUGGAAUUAAUACCGUAUACGCCCUACGGGGGAAAGAUUUAUCGGGGAAGGAUUGGCCCGCGUUGGAUUAGCUAGUUGGUGGGGUAAAGGCCUACCAAGGCGACGAUCCAUAGCUGGUCUGAGAGGAUGAUCAGCCACAUUGGGACUGAGACACGGCCCAAACUCCUACGGGAGGCAGCAGUGGGGAAUAUUGGACAAUGGGCGCAAGCCUGAUCCAGCCAUGCCGCGUGAGUGAUGAAGGCCUUAGGGUUGUAAAGCUCUUUCACCGAUGAAGAUAAUGACGGUAGUCGGAGAAGAAGCCCCGGCUAACUUCGUG